CAGUCGCCACGGUAAUACGAAGGGGGCUAGCGUUGCUCGGAAUGACUGGGCGUAAAGGGCGCGUAGGCGGAUUGUACAGUCAGACGUGAAAUUCCUGGGCUCAACCUGGGGACUGCGUUUGAGACGUAUGGUCUAGAGUUUGGAAGAGGGUCGUGGAAUUCCCAGUGUAGAGGUGAAAUUCGUAGAUAUUCGGAAGAACACCAGUGGCGAAGGCGACACACUGGCUCAUUACUGACGCUGAGGCGCGAAAGCGUGGGGAGCAAACAGGAUUAGAUACCCCCGUAGUCCCUGUCCCUUAUAC
This 301-nucleotide ribosomal RNA is filed under the name uncultured bacterium. Its description in RNAcentral is "partial 16S ribosomal RNA". It matches the Rfam family "Bacterial small subunit ribosomal RNA", at positions 509 to 807 of the family's 1533-position model. The record is from RNAcentral.